Molecule: long non-coding RNA, 497 nt
Organism: Wasmannia auropunctata (little fire ant)
Lineage: Eukaryota; Metazoa; Arthropoda; Insecta; Hymenoptera; Formicidae
Exons: 4
Source: RefSeq, a predicted model, not a curated record
CCCGAUCAAUCGCGCGCGUUUUACAUCCGUUCGCGGUCGUAAGUGAUACAGUUUCUCCAAUCAUUUUACUUCGUUGCCACUCCAUUACGUCGUUUGCGUGCCCACGUAGACCGAAGAAUGAGGAAAACGAUGGAGAUGGAACAGAAGCGGCGGACCGCAGGUAUAAAGGUUAUACUUGUUCGUUGUCGAGACUGUUGGGUCAGUGGAUUGAUUAAGGUGUCGGAUUCUCCACUUCAAUCGAAGCUACGGGUAGACGAGUUUUAGAACGAUCCUAAGUAGGCCGAUGACUCUUCUUAAAUGACACAAGGAAGAUGUUUGUUAUUUCCAUUCGCAGAGACUGAGAGGCGAAAUAAGAUAACAGCGAGCAGGAGUGGCAGAAAAGGAAGCGCAAGGCCCGGACACAAGGCUGCGCGAGCCGGGCGAGCGAGGAAGAGACGAAGCUAUUCUACGAUCGGCUCCGGGACGCUUUCGAGGCCCGAUUCGAACCGGCGGCUAUC